GCCUUCGUGGUGCAGUGGUCAGCACGCUCGGCGGGUAUUCGAGAGGUCCAUGGUUCGAGUCCCAAUGAGGGCA
Stegodyphus mimosarum is the source of this 73-nucleotide non-coding RNA. NCBI's taxonomy places the organism in Eukaryota, Metazoa, Arthropoda, Arachnida, Araneae, Eresidae. The record is from Rfam.